Molecule: ribosomal RNA, 429 nt
Filed under: Acidobacteriota bacterium
Lineage: Bacteria; Pseudomonadati; Acidobacteriota
Description: Acidobacteria bacterium partial 16S ribosomal RNA
Rfam family: Bacterial small subunit ribosomal RNA
Source: RNAcentral
UGGGGAAUUUUGGACAAUGGGGGAAACCCUGAUCCAGCCAUCCCGCGUGUGCGAUGAAGGCCUUCGGGUUGUAAAGCACUUUUGGCAGGAAAGAAACGUCAUGGGUUAAUACCCCGUGAAACUGACGGUACCUGCAGAAUAAGCACCGGCUAACUACGUGCCAGCAGCCGCGGUAAUACGUAGGGUGCAAGCGUUAAUCGGAAUUACUGGGCGUAAAGCGUGCGCAGGCGGUUCGGAAAGAAAGAUGUGAAAUCCCAGAGCUCAACUUUGGAACUGCAUUUUUAACUACCGGGCUAGAGUGUGUCAGAGGGAGGUGGAAUUCCGCGUGUAGCAGGGAAAUGCGUAGAUAUGCGGAGGAACACCGAUGGCGAAGGCAGCCUCCUGGGAUAACACUGACGCUCAUGCACGAAAGCGUGGGGAGCAAACAGG